GAAAAUUAUAUUAAUUGUUCUUUUUAAAAAAAAUAGUUUUGUUUUUAGUAAUUUUUAUAAAAUAAAUUUUUUAUUUAUAGUUAAAAGUACUGUGAAGGAUAUAUAUAAAUUAAUUAGAAGUAUUUAUUUUUAAUGUACCUUUUGUAUCAGGGUUUAUUAAUUUGUAAAAUAUAUAUAUUUUUUUCCCGAAAUUUUAAGAUAUACAACAUAAUUAUAGUUUAUGUUAUAAUAUUAUUAGUAAUUUUGUUGUAGUGAAUAUAUUUUAUUCAAUUAAAAAUAUCUGGUUGUUUGAGAAUUAAGUUUAAUUUAUGAUUAAUUUUUGAUUAAAUUUUAUUAAUUUUUUUAAUCAAAAAUUGAUUAGGAUAAUCUAGUCAAUACUUCUAAAAUAUUUUUAUUUAAAAUUUUGUGUAGGAUUAAUAAUAUCCAUCAUUUAUUUUUUUAUAAUUAAUUUUUGUAUAUUAUUAAUUUAAUAUUUAUUUAGUUUUUUAUCAAAUUGAAUAAUUUAAUUAUUAACUUAUUUUAAUCAUGAUAAAAUUAGUAUUUUAUAUAUAUAAUAUAUAGUAAUUCGGCAAAUAUUGUUUUCACCUGUUUAACAAAAACAUGUUCUUUUGUUUUAAAUAAAAGAUUUAACCUGCUCUAUGAUUAUUAAAUGGCUGCAGUAUUUUGACUGUACAAAGGUAGCAUAAUAAUUUGUCUUUUAAUUGAAGACUGGUAUGAAUGGUUGUAUGAGAAAUAUACUUUCUUUAUUUUAUAUAAAAAAAUUGAUUUUUUAGUUAAAAAGCUAAAAUAUUUUUAUAGGACGAGAAGACCCUAUAGAACUUUACUUUAAUAUAAAUAUACUAUUUAUAUAUUUUUAAAAUUUUAUAUUUUUAUUAAAGUUUUGUUGGGGUGACAAAAAAAAUUAUAUAACUUUUUUUAUUAAAUCAUUAAUUUAUGUUUUUUUGAUCCUUUAUUAUGGAAAAUAAGAUUAAGUUACCUUAGGGAUAACAGCGUUAUUUUUUUGGAGAGUUCAUAUUGAUGAAGAAGUUUGCGACCUCGAUGUUGGAUUAAAAUAAGUUACAGGGGUAUAAUAUUGUACACUAGGUCUGUUCGACCUUUAAAUUUUUACAUGAUCUGAGUUCAGACCGGCGUGAGCCAGGUCGGUUUCUAUCCUUAAUUUUAUAUAAAAUUUUAGUACGAAAGGACCAAAUUUUAGGAGUAAUUUUUGUUUAUUGUUUAUUUUUAAAAUUC
RNAcentral lists this ribosomal RNA (1230 nucleotides) under Adelphocoris lineolatus. Its description in RNAcentral is "16S ribosomal RNA". The stretch from base 798 to 1152 matches the Rfam family "Archaeal large subunit ribosomal RNA", at positions 2155 to 2712 of the family's 2987-position model. Lineage: Eukaryota; Metazoa; Arthropoda; Insecta; Hemiptera; Miridae. The record is from RNAcentral.